AAAAGUCAUUUUAGCACGGCUGUGGGUGGGUUUAGAACUGACUCCACCAUCCAUUUGACAUUGCAAUGUCCGGCAUCGUCGGGCAUUCCAGGCGCCCGGCAUCAAUCUCGGUCUUGAGCGCAGCGGCGAUGGUUUCCAGGUCGCUUACUCGAAUCCCAAUAGAUGACAUUGAGCCAUCAGCCGUGCUGGACGGCUGAACCCGAUGCAGCAUCAGGAACGCAUCACCGCCAGCCGCUGCGACGUUUGCAAUCCCCUGUAUGUGUUAUGGAUUGUGUUAGUGGAACGCUCUGGAAAGUGCGGCCAUAGUGGGUGAUAGCCCCGUACACGAAAACGCAUUCCAAGAACUGAGCAUACGAGAAGUAGGGCGGGACACGCGAAAUCCUGUCUGAAGAUGGGGGGACCAUCCUCCAAGGCUAAAUACUCGUGAUCGACCGAUAGUGAACCAGUACCGUGAGGGAAAGGCGAAAAGAACCCCGGGAGGGGAGUGAAAUAGAACCUGAAACCGGAUGCAUACAAACAGUGGGAGCCUGGAAACGGGUGACUGCGUACCUUUUGUAUAAUGGGUCAGCGACUUACAUUCAGUGGCAAGCUUAACCGAAUAGGGGAGGCGUAGGGAAACCGAGUCCGAAUAGGGCGAUUUCAGUCGCUGGGUGUAGACCCGAAACCGAGUGAUCUAUCCAUGGCCAGGAUGAAGGUGCGGUAACACGCACUGGAGGUCCGAACCCACUAGUGUUGCAAAACUAGGGGAUGAGCUGUGGAUAGGGGUGAAAGGCUAAACAAACUCGGAGAUAGCUGGUUCUCCCCGAAAACUAUUUAGGUAGUGCCUCAUGUAUCACUUCCGGGGGUAAAGCACUGUUAUGGCUAGGGGGUCAUUGCGAUUUACCAAACCAUGGCAAACUCUGAAUACCGGAAAGUGCAAGCAUGGGAGACAGACGGUGGGUGCUAACGUCCAUCGUCAAGAGGGAAACAACCCAGACCGCCAGCUAAGGUCCCAAAUGAUCAGUUAAGUGGUAAACGAGGUGGGAAGGCAUAGACAGCCAGGAUGUUGGCUUAGAAGCAGCCAUCAUUUAAAGAAAGCGUAAUAGCUCACUGGUCGAGUCGUCCUGCGCGGAAGAUGUAACGGGGCUCAAACUGAUAACCGAAGCUGCGGAUGGGCACAUUAAUGUGUCCGUGGUAGGGGAGCGUUCUGUAGGUCUGUGAAGGUGGUGGUGUAAACCCUGCUGGAGAUAUCAGAAGUGCGAAUGCUGACAUGAGUAGCGAUAAAGCGGGUGAAAAGCCCGCUCGCCGAAAGCCCAAGGUUUCCUACGCAACGUUCAUCGGCGUAGGGUGAGUCGGCCCCUAAGGCGAGGCUGAAAAGCGUAGUCGAUGGGAAACGGGUUAAUAUUCCCGUACUUUUAUGUAGUGCGAUGUGGGGACGGAGAAGGUUAGGUCAGCGGCCUGUUGGAAUAGGUCGUUUAAGGCGGUAGGCUGGUGCGGUAGGCAAAUCCGCUGCACCUUAAGGCCGAGAACUGAUGACGAGGGUCUACGGACCUGAAGUGACUGAUACCACGCUUCCAGGAAAAGCCACUAAGCUUCAGCUACAUAAGAACCGUACCGCAAACCGACACAGGUGGGCAGGAUGAGAAUUCUAAGGCGCUUGAGAGAACUCAGGAGAAGGAACUCGGCAAAUUGAUACCGUAACUUCGGGAGAAGGUAUGCCUCUGUAUGUGUAGUGAUUUACUCACGAAGCAAGCAGAGGUCGCAGAGAAUAGGUGGCUGCGACUGUUUAUCAAAAACACAGCUCUGUGCCAACACGAAAGUGGACGUAUACGGAGUGACGCCUGCCCGGUGCUGGAAGAUUAAAUGAUGGGGUGCAAGCUCUUGAUUGAAGUCCCAGUAAACGGCGGCCGUAACUAUAACGGUCCUAAGGUAGCGAAAUUCCUUGUCGGGUAAGUUCCGAC
This 1940-nucleotide ribosomal RNA is filed under the name freshwater metagenome. Its description in RNAcentral is "bacterial LSU rRNA". It matches the Rfam family "Bacterial large subunit ribosomal RNA", at positions 227 to 1987 of the family's 2925-position model. The record is from RNAcentral.